This 599-nucleotide ribosomal RNA is filed under the name Dietzia sp. CBMAI 705. RNAcentral's name for it is "bacterial SSU rRNA". It matches the Rfam family "Bacterial small subunit ribosomal RNA", at positions 84 to 697 of the family's 1533-position model. Lineage: Bacteria; Bacillati; Actinomycetota; Actinomycetes; Mycobacteriales; Dietziaceae. The record is from RNAcentral.
GGGGUACACGAGUGGCGAACGUGUGUAGUAACACGUGGGUAAUCUGCCCUGCACUUCGGGAUAAGCCUGGGAAACUGGGUCUAAUACCGGAUAUGAACUCCUGCCGCAUGGUGGGGGUUGGAAAGUUUUUCGGUGCAGGAUGAGCCCGCGGCCUAUCAGCUUGUUGGUGGGGUAAUGGCCUACCAAGGCGACGACGGGUAGCCGGCCUGAGAGGGUGAUCGGCCACACUGGGACUGAGACACGGCCCAGACUCCUACGGGAGGCAGCAGUGGGGAAUAUUGCACAAUGGGCGAAAGCCUGAUGCAGCGACGCCGCGUGGGGGAUGACGGUCUUCGGAUUGUAAACCCCUUUCAGUAGGGACGAAGCGCAAGUGACGGUACCUGCAGAAGAAGCACCGGCUAACUACGUGCCAGCAGCCGCGGUAAUACGUAGGGUGCGAGCGUUGUCCGGAAUUACUGGGCGUAAAGAGCUCGUAGGCGGUUUGUCACGUCGUCUGUGAAAUCCCUCGGCUUAACCGGGGGCGUGCAGGCGAUACGGGCAGACUUGAGUACUACAGGGGAGACUGGAAUUCCUGGUGUAGCGGUGAAAUGCGCAGAUAU